Molecule: microRNA precursor, 61 nt
Filed under: Xenopus laevis (African clawed frog)
Lineage: Eukaryota; Metazoa; Chordata; Amphibia; Anura; Pipidae
Description: Xla-Mir-17-P4d4_pre stem-loop
Rfam family: mir-17 microRNA precursor family
About the family: This family represents the microRNA (miRNA) precursor mir-17, family, which includes mir-20, mir-91, and mir-103. miRNAs are transcribed as ~70nt precursors (modelled here) and subsequently processed by the Dicer enzyme to give a ~22nt product. In this case the mature sequence comes from the 3' arm of the precursor.
Source: RNAcentral
CAAAGUGCUGUUCGUGCAGGUAGAUUUAUAACAUUCCUACUGCAUGGGCAGCACUUCCUGA